GUCAAAGUUCAGCAGCAUGGUAUGAAAAUGGGUUGUGAUGAGAGAAAGAGUGCUGUAGUGCGUGCAGAGAUACUGUGUAAAUCAGGAUGAUUCGACUGUUUUUGAAUGUUUGUUUUUAAUACCCAUUUGCUUUUACAUACACCAAAUGGAUAUUACAACUGAAAGUCAUUUUAAAUCAUCAAACCAUCACCAGACAUCCAUUUCUUUUAUUAAAUACACACCAUGAAUAGUAAGCCAACAAUAUAAUUAAUCAACCAGAGGUUUUGUUGCUGUCAUGAAAAUAAAAAUAAUAACAUUUUGGGGGGGUUUUGGGGACAAUUUAGUGCAUUGUCAUCUUAAACUGUGAAUAUUUAUCAACCCGUGUCUAAUCAGACAAUAGUUUUUUUGCACUUACAUUUACUUAAAAAAAGUAAGUCCACAUUUAAAAAAAUUGUAGGUUUAUUGGAACCUACCAGGGUUUUAAAUAGCUGGUUUUAGUAGCUGAAAUGCAAACUAACUUGCAAUGACUUUGCAAAGUUGCCAACAAAUAAUCUAAAUGUUAUCCUUUAAUCGACUUUUAUUAUAUAAUCUAGUAAAAUGCAUCCAUUGAAAAAUAGUUAGAGUAAAGGUUAACUGGUGGGAUGCACACUUGGGGAUUCAGUGACAGCGAAUAAAUGCAUUUAUCAUUUCAGGCUAAAGAGGAUUACUGUCUAAUGAAUGGUGAAGUGCUUGAUAAAAAACUUUAAAAGCUUAAAAAUGGUUGAAGUGAACAUUAACCUGGUUUUAAUUUUUCCGUCUUUUUCAUUCUUUUUGAAUUGCAGCUUUCGCUUGCUGCAUUUUUGUGUGUGUUUAUUAAUUGUGUUAAAUACAAUAACAAAGGCUACUCGAGCCACUGCUGAUCAAACUCAUCUUUAUUACACAUACUGUUUAAUGCCAAGUCCAAGAUCAACUAAUAGUGAUAUUACAGUCAAGCUUACCCUAAUGUAAUGUACUCUAAUGUUUUCACUAUCCCAGACUUUUAAAUUAAUUUAGGAAAAAACAUUAAAUAAAAUUCAACAUAAAUACUGUAGUAUGUGAAGAAAUUAAAACUGGAAAAAAUCAGCUGUUCUAACAAAUAAAUAUGCUAAAGUUCCAAUGAUGCCACAACCACCAAAGCAUAUAAUUGAGACUGAAUAGUAUGUAAGUACAAUUAAUAUGCAUGUGUGAUAUGUGUGGUAGUCUGCUUGAGUUACUGCACAUUAACUGGUAAGUUGCUUUCUUUGAAACAGGUUAACUGUGAGUGACAUUAGAAAACUAAUGAGCAAAAUCCAUAAAUUCUCUAAAUUUGUGUCAGAGGCAAUGCUUUACAAAUAAGUAGCUAAAUGACUAAACUUUACAAAAAGACUGGCAUGAAUUUCCCUUCUAGGGCAAAUUCUUAUCCCUUCUUAUUCCUAAUUAUCCAUAGAAAUUAUUAAAGUUUUUAUUAAUAGUCAUCUUAAUAGUUCACAAACAGGAUUUUCUUGAUUUUUCUAGACAAUUCCAGUUUGCUGUGAUAUGACAUGACAACCUCAUUUGUAAAAUAUUUGAAGGAAAUAUUUUAAGAGAGCUGAUCCUCAAACUGUUUUCUGAAACAGUCUCCAGCUGGGAAGAAGUCCCAACAGCGCUCCUGGUACAUCUUCCACACAUAUGACUCCUGAAAAGACACGAUAUAAGAACACAAGAGGUAAUGUGAGGCCUUGAAUGGAGCACACUAACUAAAGAAAAACUGUAAUAAAAACCUUCAG
This is a long non-coding RNA of Astatotilapia calliptera (eastern happy), 1742 nucleotides long. NCBI's taxonomy places the organism in Eukaryota, Metazoa, Chordata, Actinopteri, Cichliformes, Cichlidae. The record is from Ensembl.